This 451-nucleotide ribosomal RNA is filed under the name uncultured bacterium. RNAcentral's name for it is "partial 16S ribosomal RNA". It matches the Rfam family "Bacterial small subunit ribosomal RNA", at positions 29 to 523 of the family's 1533-position model. The record is from RNAcentral.
AACGAACGCUGGCGGCAUGCCUAAUACAUGCAAGUCGAACGAACGUAGCAAUACGUGAGUGGCGGACGGGUGAGUAACACGUGGGAACCUGCCCAGCGGUGGGGAACAACCGAGGGAAACUUCGGCUAAUACCGCAUACGCCCUUACGGGGAAAGAUUUAUCGCCGUUGGAGGGGCCCGCGUCCGAUUAGCUAGUUGAUGAGGUAACGGCUCACCAAGGCGACGAUCGGUAACUGGUCUGAGAGGACGACCAGUCACACUGGGACUGAGACACGGCCCAGACUCCUACGGGAGGCAGCAGUAGGGAAUAUUGGACAAUGGGGGAAACCCUGAUCCAGCAAUGCCGCGUGAGUGAUGAAGGCCUUAGGGUUGUAAAGCUCUUUCGCCCACGACGAUGGUGACGGUAGUGGGAGAAGAAGCCCCGGCUAACUUCGUGCCAGCCGCCGCUGUAA